Molecule: transfer RNA, 71 nt
Filed under: Clostridium sp. AF50-3
Lineage: Bacteria; Bacillati; Bacillota; Clostridia; Eubacteriales; Clostridiaceae
Description: tRNA-Gly
Rfam family: tRNA
About the family: Transfer RNA (tRNA) molecules are approximately 80 nucleotides in length. Their secondary structure includes four short double-helical elements and three loops (D, anti-codon, and T loops). Further hydrogen bonds mediate the characteristic L-shaped molecular structure. tRNAs have two regions of fundamental functional importance: the anti-codon, which is responsible for specific mRNA codon recognition, and the 3' end, to which the tRNAs corresponding amino acid is attached (by aminoacyl-tRNA synthetases). tRNAs cope with the degeneracy of the genetic code in two manners: having more than one tRNA (with a specific anti-codon) for a particular amino acid; and 'wobble' base-pairing, i.e. permitting non-standard base-pairing at the 3rd anti-codon position.
Source: RNAcentral
GCAGGAUUCGUAUAUCGGCAGUACGUCAGCUUCCCAAGCUGAAAAGGCGGGUUCGACUCCCGUAUCCCGCU